Molecule: ribosomal RNA, 587 nt
Filed under: uncultured bacterium
Lineage: Bacteria
Description: bacterial SSU rRNA
Rfam family: Bacterial small subunit ribosomal RNA
Source: RNAcentral
CCUACGGGAGGCAGCAGUGGGGAAUAUUGGACAAUGGGCGAAAGCCUGAUCCAGCAAUGCCGCGUGUGUGAAGAAGGCCUGCGGGUUGUAAAGCACUUUCAUCAGGGACGAAAAACCCGGGGCGAAUACCCCCGGGCCUUGACUUAACCUGAACAAGAAGCACCGGCUAACUCCGUGCCAGCAGCCGCGGUAAUACGGAGGGUGCGAGCGUUAAUCGGAAUUACUGGGCGUAAAGCGCACGUAGGAGGCGAGGUCAGUCAGAUGUGAAAUCCCCGGGCUCAACCUGGGAAUUGCAUUUGAUACUGUCUUGCUAGAGUCUGGCAGAGGUAAGCGGAAUUCCGGGUGUAGCGGUGGAAUGCGUAGAUAUCCGGAAGAACACCAGUGGCGAAGGCGGCUUACUGGGCCAAGACUGACUCUGAGGUGCGAAAGCGUGGGGAGCGAACAGGAUUAGAUACCCUGGUAGUCCACGCCGUAAACGAUGUCAACCAGCCGUUGGACCCGUUUGAGGGUCAAGUGGUGCAGCUAACGCGAUAAGUUGACCGCCUGGGGAGUACGGCCGCAAGGUUGAAACUCAAAGGAAUUGACGG